UCUUAGCUAGGAGAUAUAAAGUAAAGGAAAAUUUCUGCUAUAGGAUUCUAUUUAAUUUGAUUAGGUAGUUGAUAGGGUAACGGCCUACCAAGCCAACGAUCAAAAGUCAAGUUUGAAAGAACCUCUGGCCACAUUGGGGAUGAAAUCUCCCAAGUAGUAAUUACACUACCAGCAGUCGAGAAUAUUAGUCAAUGCUCGUAAGAGUGAACUAGCUAACUGAAAUCAUAGAAUUUCUUCAAAUUCAUGAUGUCGUAAGGGAAAAUAAUGAUAAUACCUUACUAUGAGUGUCGUCCAAAUCUGGUGCCAGAAGACUCGGUAAGACCAGAGACGCAAACGUUAAUCAUCAUAAACAGGCGUAAAGGGUUUGUAGGCAGCUUUUAUAAGAUAAUAAAAAUCUAAAUUGAAAGCUAGAAUCAAAAAGAGGUUAUAGUGUAUAACGCCUAGAGGAGGGCUGAUAUCCAUAGAUCCUAGGCAGAAUACUCAGGGCGAAGGCCACUCUCCACUAAUGAUUGACG
This 515-nucleotide ribosomal RNA is filed under the name Ganoderma sp. Jfl1. RNAcentral describes it as "partial small subunit ribosomal RNA". It matches the Rfam family "Bacterial small subunit ribosomal RNA", at positions 180 to 745 of the family's 1533-position model. Lineage: Eukaryota; Fungi; Basidiomycota; Agaricomycetes; Polyporales; Polyporaceae. The record is from RNAcentral. RNAcentral also lists the same sequence under 1 other name.